Molecule: small nucleolar RNA, 127 nt
Filed under: Tetraodon nigroviridis (spotted green pufferfish)
Lineage: Eukaryota; Metazoa; Chordata; Actinopteri; Tetraodontiformes; Tetraodontidae
Description: Small nucleolar RNA SNORA75 (ENSTNIG00000020399.1)
Source: RNAcentral
CUCUUCUCAUGAGCACCACUCUGUCUAACGGUGACAGUGAAUGGAUUCGCAAGAGAAGUAGAGCAAAGUGACAUUUACACAAGGCAUUUACCUAGUGGUAGGUGCCCAUGUCCAAUGUGAGACAUUU